This 449-nucleotide ribosomal RNA is filed under the name uncultured bacterium. RNAcentral describes it as "bacterial SSU rRNA". It matches the Rfam family "Bacterial small subunit ribosomal RNA", at positions 28 to 507 of the family's 1533-position model. The record is from RNAcentral.
GAUGAACGCUGGCGGCAGGUUUGACACAUGCAAGUCGAACGAGAAGCCCGGGGCUUGCCCUGGGUGGAGAGUGGCGAACGGCUGAGUAACACGUAGGAACCUACCCUGAAGACCGGGAUAACGGAUCGAAAGAACCGCUAAUACCGGAUAUAUCCGCAAGGAGGAAAGCUCCGGCGCUUCAGGAGGGGCCUGCGGCGUAUUAGCUUGUUGGUGGGGUAAUGGCUCACCAAGGCGAUGAUACGUAGCUGGUCUGAGAGGAUGAUCAGCCAGACUGGGACUGAGACACGGCCCAGACUCCUACGGGAGGCAGCAGUUCAGAAUCUUGCACAAUGGGCGAAAGCCUGAUGCAGCCAUGCCGCGUGUGCGAGGAAGGCCCUCGGGUCGUAAAGCACUGUCAGGAGGGAAGAACAAUGACGGUACCUCCUAAGGAAGCCACGGCUAAUUACGUG